UUUUUUUUUCUCCUUUUUUUUUCUGUUAACUUGAGUACUUCAUUUGAAGCUGUUGACAUUUUCUUUCAUUUCAUUUCUGAACUUAUAGGGCUUGUUUAUAGAAUUCAAUCUUUAUGAGUAGAAUUUCAAUUUAUGUGCUGCCUUUGUGGGAUUUAUCUGAAUCUCAUGAAUGACAUCUGGAUUCAUUUGUUCUUGGAUCAGUUAAGCCUAAGUUUUAGACUUUGGCUGGUUUGGGCCUCGUGUAAUGCUAUAAUUUGAUGUUCUUGCCUAGCUUAAGCGCUUACUGAAUGCAUAAAAAAAAAUUCAUGAAGUUAUCAUUUACUAUGGAAACUCUAAUUUGAAAAUGGUUUUUAUUUUUCCAUAAAUAGGAUAGCUAGUCAGGUUGUUAUUUUUCAUAAAUACUUCGAGUGUUAACAUAUUGUUGUUCUUUAUGUAGAAAAUUGAAGCUAUAUUGGAAAA
RNAcentral lists this unclassified non-coding RNA (459 nucleotides) under Hevea brasiliensis (rubber tree). Lineage: Eukaryota; Viridiplantae; Streptophyta; Magnoliopsida; Malpighiales; Euphorbiaceae. The record is from RNAcentral.